Molecule: microRNA, 22 nt
Filed under: Panagrellus redivivus
Lineage: Eukaryota; Metazoa; Nematoda; Chromadorea; Rhabditida; Panagrolaimidae
Description: prd-miR-7931-3p
Source: miRBase by way of RNAcentral
UCCUGAGCCUCCUCUGUCCCCG